CCUACGGGAGGCAGCAGUGAGGAAUAUUGGUCAAUGGACGAGAGUCUGAACCAGCCAAGUAGCGUGAAGGAUGACUGCCCUAUGGGUUGUAAACUUCUUUUAUAUGGGAAUAAAACGUUCCACGUGUGGGAUUUUGUAUGUACCAUAUGAAUAAGGAUCGGCUAACUCCGUGCCAGCAGCCGCGGUAAUACGGAGGAUCCGAGCGUUAUCCGGAUUUAUUGGGUUUAAAGGGAGCGUAGGUGGAUUGUUAAGUCAGUUGUGAAAGUUUGCGGCUCAACCGUAAAAUUGCAGUUGAAACUGGCAGUCUUGAGUACAGUAGAGGUGGGCGGAAUGCGUGGUGUAGCGGUGAAAUGCUUAGAGAUCACGAAGAACUCCGAUUGCGAAGGCAGUUCACUGGACUGCAACUGACACUGAGGCUCGAAAGUGUGGGUAUCAAACAGGAUUAGAUACCCCAGUAGUC
Molecule: ribosomal RNA, 460 nt
Filed under: uncultured bacterium
Lineage: Bacteria
Description: partial 16S ribosomal RNA
Rfam family: Bacterial small subunit ribosomal RNA
Source: RNAcentral